GGGCCUGUAGCUCAGUGGCUAGAGUGCCAGCCACAUACACUGGAACUGGCGGGUUCAAAUCCAGCCAGGGCCU
This 73-nucleotide transfer RNA is filed under the name Otolemur garnettii (small-eared galago). It matches the Rfam family "tRNA". From Rfam's summary of the family: Transfer RNA (tRNA) molecules are approximately 80 nucleotides in length. The record is from Rfam by way of RNAcentral. Lineage: Eukaryota; Metazoa; Chordata; Mammalia; Primates; Galagidae.